GGAGUUUAUCUUACACCUAUGAUGUCACAAGCACUGUACCAUAUCACAAGUAUCUUAUUAACAAAGACUAUAAAGUUUUGAUUUACAGUGGAGAUCAUGAUGCAGUUAUUCCAUAUUUGGGUACAAUGACAUGGAUAAAAUCUCUGAAUUUGUCGCUCAAACGAGACUGGUUACCGUGGUAUGUAGGUGGACAAGUAGGAGGAUAUACAUUGCAGUAUACACAGGGGAAUUAUAACCUAGUGUAUGCAACUGUGAAGGCAAGAUAAAGCAUUUAAUUAUAUUUGACACACUGAUUUAAUUUCUUAUGGAGAAAUUAAAAUAAAUAAUGUAUUAUAAUAUUAUUAAACAUACAGAAGAUUUUCACAGUUCAAAUCAUCAAAUGCAUGGCAGAACAAAAAUCAAUUAUAACAAGGUGAAACAAAAUACAAUGCUUGCUUUUUAAGAAACAAGAACUUUACUCCCCUAAAAAAUUAGUUAAACUUAUAUUAGAUGCUUUCUUAGGUUAUCAUCCAUAAAACCACAAGUUAAUCAAUAUGCCACAAACUCAGAAAUCUAACAGAGCAUGAGAAGUAGGUCCAAAACCAGCAAGUACAUAUAUUGUCGUAUAGAAUUAGACACAUGUUUUUCAGAUAUGUAAAUUAAAACACAUGUUUCUUUGCUCAGAUCUGGAAGAAAUUAGAGUUUCAUUUUGCUUGAAAUGUUAAAAAACAAAGGUACUAUAACUCUG
Arachis duranensis is the source of this 727-nucleotide long non-coding RNA. RefSeq lists it as uncharacterized. NCBI's taxonomy places the organism in Eukaryota, Viridiplantae, Streptophyta, Magnoliopsida, Fabales, Fabaceae. The record is from RefSeq and is a predicted model, not a curated record. The transcript has 3 exons.